This 705-nucleotide ribosomal RNA is filed under the name Pasiropsis sp. JZ-2016. RNAcentral describes it as "SSU rRNA". It matches the Rfam family "Eukaryotic small subunit ribosomal RNA", at positions 636 to 1272 of the family's 1831-position model. The record is from RNAcentral. Lineage: Eukaryota; Metazoa; Arthropoda; Insecta; Hemiptera; Reduviidae.
UCGCCGCCUGUCGGUGUAACUGGCAUGUCGCGGCAUGUCCUGUCGGUGGUGAGCGGGUUCCCCGGUGCUCCUUUAGCUUUUUUAAUAGAAAGCUGAAGUGUUGUGCUGUGUGUGUUCCCGUUUGCCGAUCUCCUACUCCGGUGCUCUUAAACGAGUGUCGAGGUAGGCCGACACGUUCACUUUGAACAAAUUAGAGUGCUUAAAGCAGGCUGAAAUAUCUGCCUGAAUAGUGGUGCAUGGAAUGAUAAAACAGGACCUCGGUUCUAUUUUAUUGGUUUUAGGAAUAUGAGGUAAUGAUCAAUGUGGACUGGCGGGGGCAUUCGUAUUGCGACGUUAGAGGUGAAAUUCUUGGAUCGUCGCAAGACGCACUAGAGCGAAAGCAUUUGCCAAGUAUGUCUUAAUUGAUCAAGAACGAAAGUUAGAGGUUCGAAGGCGAUCAGAUACCGCCCUAGUUCUAACCAUAAACGAUGCCAGCCAGCGAUCCGCCGAUGUUCCUUUAAUGACUCGGCGGGGAGCUUCUACCCGGGAAACCAAAGCUUUUGGGUUCCGGGGGAAGUAUGGUUGCAAAGCUGAAACUUAAAGGAAUUGACGGAAGGGCACCACCAGGAGUGGAGCCUGCGGCUUAAUUUGACUCAACACGGGAAACCUCACCAGGCCAGGACAUUGGAAGGAUUGACAGAUUGAUAGCUCUUUCUUGAUUCAGUG